ACAGAAGCGGGUCAAAUCUCGCGAGAGGUUAAAAGCCUCGCGAGACGUCGUCCUACCCACGUGAUUCCUAGCUGUCGCUGCGCGGCCCACCCUUGUGUUAGGGACGCGGAGUGGGCGGAGCUUCAUAGAAAGGAAAUGGCGUAGCUAGGUUGCGCCAGGCGCCGGAUGUAGGUUUGUGUUAUCCCGAUUUCGGAUGUGAGUGCAGAGUCCUUGACUAAUUUGGGAGUGGGUGUUGUUGGGCCCUUCGUGAAGUUCCCAGCAGAGUAACCGCAUUUUCCUUCUAAGACUAGCGGUGCUGGGAGGUGGGAGGAACGGAGUUUUAAAGCAACGAGCAUACCAGCGGUUGGUUCCCAAGAUGUGGUUCCCGCAACUCCUGUAUCACCAUCGCGCGGUAACUUAUUACAAGUGCAGAUUCUCAGUCCCUACUCCAGACCUCCUGACUCAGAAACUCGAGGUGGCGCAGCAGCCUGUUUUAACACGCGCCGCAGGUGAUACCAAUAUCUGCUCAAGUUUUAGAGCCAUCGCUUUAUAUAGUAGGAGAAGACUUAGUAGCAAUAAAAAGGAACUAGAGAUAGAGGAACAGAGAAAAUGACCCCGAGGGAAGAUUCUGAUCCAGAAUAUGAAACAUUCUAUAAGAAAAUGCCUAAAUUCUUCACAAAGGGAGUGGAUCGGAAAUGACCUGAGCGAGGGGCCCACCUCCCUGGGACAAUGGCCCGGUAUUUUUGACGUGGGA
Mustela erminea (ermine) is the source of this 733-nucleotide long non-coding RNA. RefSeq lists it as uncharacterized. The record is from RefSeq and is a predicted model, not a curated record. The transcript has 3 exons. NCBI's taxonomy places the organism in Eukaryota, Metazoa, Chordata, Mammalia, Carnivora, Mustelidae.